Molecule: long non-coding RNA, 588 nt
Organism: Branchiostoma belcheri (Belcher's lancelet)
Lineage: Eukaryota; Metazoa; Chordata; Leptocardii; Amphioxiformes; Branchiostomatidae
Exons: 3
Source: RefSeq, a predicted model, not a curated record
AGUCACUGUUUAGUAAAAGUCCUGGCAGUGCCUAGUUGUGCUACUGGAAGCACACAAUCAUGGAGCCACUGCUGAUGUUUUUGUUUCAAAUCAUGGGUUCCAUUGGUGGUGUAGAGUCUGGAAGCAGUAACAAUUGUAGUACUGUUGCUUUAAUGUUCACAAAAAGGAUUCAUGUACCAGACAGCAUCUACAGUCAACAACAGGCAAGACAUGAGCUAGAAACACCUGAUCUGACAGCUUAUGACAGUACAUAUGAAGUCACUGUGUCAACAUACACCAAGUGGGAUGUUGGUCUUCUUGGAGGGCCUCAUGACUACAUGAAGAUAUCACGGUACUAGUGUAAUAUGUCAGUCUAUACUCUGCCCAGGGGUACUUUCUGGCCUGUUACAACAGAUUGAGUGCCUACAUGAUAUCUUCUGUGUUCAUGUGCUACAGCAGUCCUCCGUAGAAACCACUGCUGUAGUGACCACCUCUGUGACAAAGCCGGUGAGGAGACAGUGGAUGGCAAGCUUUUCAUGGCCUACUAGUAGGUAUCUGCUGUUUAAAAUACUGGUUGCGUAGCAGUGGUGGUCAAAAAUUGGACAAAAA